AAUAGAUACCCAGGUAGUCCACGCCGUAAACGAUGGAUACUAGCUGUUUGAGCGCAAGUUUGAGCGGCUAAGCGAAAGUGAUAAGUAUCCCACCUGGGGAGUACGGGCGCAAGCCUGAAACUCAAAGGAAUUGACGGGGGCCCGCACAAGCGGUGGAGCAUGUGGUUUAAUUCGAUGAUACGCGAGGAACCUUACCAGGGCUUAAAUGUAGAUUGACGUAUUUGGAAACAGAUAUUUCUUCGGACAAUUUACAAGGUGCUGCAUGGUUGUCGUCAGCUCGUGCCGUGAGGUGUCAGGUUAAGUCCUAUAACGAGCGCAACCCCUGUUGUUAGUUGCCAGCGAGUAAUGUCGGGAACUCUAGCAAGACUGCCAGUGUAAACUGUGAGGAAGGUGGGGAUGACGUCAAAUCAUCACGGCCCUUACGUCCUGGGCCACACACGUGCUACAAUGGCCGGUACAGAGAGCAGCCACUUAGCGAUAAGGAGCGAAUCUAUAAAGCCGGUCACAGUUCGGAUCGGAGUCUGA
This 525-nucleotide ribosomal RNA is filed under the name uncultured bacterium. Its description in RNAcentral is "bacterial SSU rRNA". It matches the Rfam family "Bacterial small subunit ribosomal RNA", at positions 777 to 1308 of the family's 1533-position model. The record is from RNAcentral.